RNAcentral lists this long non-coding RNA (203 nucleotides) under Setaria viridis. RNAcentral describes it as "long non-coding RNA (SVIR_LNC011111)". The record is from RNAcentral. Lineage: Eukaryota; Viridiplantae; Streptophyta; Magnoliopsida; Poales; Poaceae.
GCAAGGGAGGUGCUGCCUGAAGUUUUUUCCCUCAUUUUUGUGGGAAUUUCACUCGGCUAACACAAGUGUUGUGAAGGUUUGCUACUUCAUCCUCGUGUUAUGCUUUGAUUUAUGCUUUGGAGAUGGAAAGAUUAUUUGCUAGAAUGUGAUGAUGAAGUAGAAAAUGGAGAGGUAUUUUGAGCUAGAAUGUGAGGGAGAUUGAU